UAGAUUAUUUUUGCAUAUUUUCUUGUCGCAUUUUUUUUUUCUAGGAGUCCUCAUAUUACUGAUGCAACUAAGGUACAAUGCUUCUAUCCUCCAUAUGCAUCAUAUUUUCAUCCCAAAUAAAAAAUAUAUAAAAAAUAAAAAUCAUAAUAUAAUAUCUCAAAAAAUAAAAAAAAUUAAAAAAAAAUAUUGAGGUCAAUGUCUGAUCUAGGUUGGGGAGUAUAGGAUUCGAAUUUUUGAAGAAAUUUUUCGCAUUUUCGUAUUUUUGAAUAAAUUUUUCGAAAAAAAAACCUAAUUUCUAUGCCUUAGUGCUGAAAUGAUAAAUACACAAAGUAUAUAAAAUCUAAAAAUCCCAAUGAUUUGUCAGGAAUAAGACAAUUUGAGUUCUUUUCAUUAAAAGUUCUUUAGUGAGUGGUAAGAUAAUUUGUACUUUGGAAUUUCACAAUACACAUGGCCUGCACUUCUAAGGGUUAGGUUCAACAUUAUGUUGUUAAGUCUGGUAGCAACCUUGAGUCCUGAUGAAUCAUUCCUAUCUAAUUCACUAUUAUUCCAUAUUUAUUAAAAAAAAUAGUCAGGUACAUCGAAAAGGGCUACCUAUUGUCAAAGGUUAGCGGGCUUGUAUGAGGAACCCGAGCAUAGGUUCGUAGGGGAGUCUUGAUGCCCAACACCUUAUGCCAUCUGAUGUGGAAGUGUUGACUGAAUACUCGCUAUACGGAGGAAUCAUUGCAAGAGUAAAAGUACGUAAUUUAUUUAUAAAUAAAAAAAAAAGAAAAAAAAAAGAGAAAAUAAUAUUGACCUUGAAAAAAGAUAGUGUGAAAGCCGUCGCUAUAAAAAUUCGAGUAAACUGUAAUAUUACAGAUAAAGCCCAUGAGGUAUUAAAGUAAACAUCCACAACUCUCGAAAUCCUGCAAGAUAGGAUGAUUUUGAAUCAGUGAUUAGGUCUUAUCUGACCAAUUCUUGGAAACUACCAGCUUUAGCAGUAUUUUGGGGAAUCUAAAACCUUAGCUUGUGUUUGGUCCAAAUAUCACCAAGCACCCAAGUAUAAAUAAGCCUUACAACUCUCUAACAGAAACUUAAUGACUUCAACUUAAGUUGCAUACUGACUUAGGAUUUGGGCUGACUUAGUAAUUAAAACUUUGUGUGCUUUUGAAAUUAUUGGCACUUAUGCAUUUGAAAUUAGAUUUUAUAAAACGAUAAAAUAAAUUCUUUGGGUAGAGACAACAGUUUGUGGGUAUCUGAGCCGGAAACCCUCACGAGACAAAACUCGUCCACUAGGGCCACCUAGGGGUUUAAAGCCUUAUUGCAUACGGUAAAUGCAAUCGCGAUUCCUGCGAAAGUGAGUUUGUUUUUAUUUCGCUCGAUGACUAGCAAAAUGUAGGUUGGGGGUGUGAUAAGUGCUAAAUAAUGCAUAAAUUAAUAUCUUAUUUAUAGCACUUAUCAUUAUUUUAAUUCACAUAUCUUGUAAAUUUAACUAAAAAAAUGUAUUACCUUCAUCAUUGCAUUUUAAAGGUAAUUCAAGUUUGAUUUGAUUAUUUAUUGAUUAAGCUUAAUGCAUGCAGGUCGAGUCGAGCUCAAUUAGGUAAAGCCUAAACGGACACUACAUCAUUUCACAAUUUCACAUUCUCCUGAGUCGACUCCAAGAACUCUUUUCCAAAAUCCAGUGCUUUCCAAGUUCACCUAAAUUUCGUCCCACUCAUUCGAAUUCUCCUGUUUUAAUAUUAAAAAUAAUACAAUCCCUUCAAUCAAUUAUUUCUCAGAUCUCAAAGCAUACUAUCUUAGUUGCACAGAUUGCAAAGCCUCACCCCUUCAAUCCAUUUCAACUUCCAACGAAUAAUCCCAGAUCUCCUCCCAGCCAUUCCGCUUCCCUCCACGUCAUUUCUUUAGGAACAGAGCCAUAUGUACAGGAUAAGCUCUCAUAUCCAAACUUCCCCUUCUUCCGGAUCGUUCUCACAUUCAUUCCAUUCGAAACUCAAAGCUUCUCCCGGAUCACUCCCUCUCAACCGAAUCUAGCUUUCCAUCACCCACGGAUAAGCCCAAGCCAGCCUUCAUCUCAUCCGCGAUUAACUCCCAGCUUCAUCCCAUUCAAAUUCCUUCUCCUAAGCUUCUCCAGCUAGAUUCCCUCCACAGAUGAACAUCUCCCAACGUCCAGCUUCAUCUUCCCGAGAUCCCAACUCCAAGCGCCCACAUCUUCGGCAGUCCAAAGAACAAAUCCAAACCUCCACGAACAGAGUACGUCCGCAGCUUCAUCCUCCCGAUUCCUCCGGCACCUCAUUUAAGCCGUGAACAGCACCCCAGCAUCUUCCGGAUGAGCAUUCCAUCUUCUUCUGACUUCUUCUCAUCCACAAAUCCGAACCAAAUGCAUAACAGAGCGCCCUUAUCCCGAGGAACAGACCCGUAUGUGAUCUUCUCCCCUGUUUCACGCAUGGCCAGCCGUUCCCAAGCUUCACAGAAGCUUCAUCUAAACUGUCAACCGAAUCCAAGUUUUUCCCCUGUUUCGGAAUCAAGUCCCAAUAUCCCACGGAACAGCUCCUCCCGCGAUGCUUGCCAUACAAACUUCUAUCUUUAUCCAACACCCAAGCUGCCGAAUCCCAUGGAACAUCUCCCCUGUUCCCAACCGAAUCGAGUUCAUCCUCCCGUGAUCCACUCAUCUCCCAGCUGCAUCCAUUUGAUUCCAGCUCCAUCCUUGCGAGUUUCACGGCAUCCAAACAUCCCCUGUUUCUCCACGACCAGGCUUCUUCCACGUCCACCAGCGAGGGAUUCUUCCCAGCCAAAGGAAAUCAAACAUCGAACCGAGCCAUAUCUAAGCACCUUCAUUCCGUUUUACUCCCAGCGUCUGCAUAUCCAUGGGAUAAACUCAAAUCCCAGCUUCUCUUCCGGUUUGAUCCCAUGAAAUCGCUAACGUCUCAGCUCAUCUUCCGACGCGUCCGGCUUCACGCGUCUUCUCCUUUGAUCCGAACCACAGCAGUCCACGAAUCAGGCCAAGCUUCAUCCCAACGGCAAAGGGUUCAUCCUUAUCUACAUUCGAAACAGAAGAGGGGAGUCGCAGCCUAUAAAAGGCCCCAGGGUGAACAGAGGAGGAUUCAUUGACGACCGGGAGAAGAAGAUCUCGGGAGAGAGGGAGUUCCCACCGAAGUAAAAAGGAAAGAGAGGCUUUUGGGUAUUGUGGGAAGAACUUCCCACGGAAAAAGAAAAAAAAAUGAAAUGCUAAGGGAGUCCCACGGGAGAGGAAAAAGCCGGAAGGAAGAAAUGAGAGCCCGCUGCUGUGCCACUGCUGCUGUCGCCCACGACUUCAUUGGAAGGCUGAUCUCCUCUCUAGGGUUGGAUGCAGCCCUAACAAAGGAACACGGGUUUUAUAUUUUAUUUUAUAUUCUUGGGGUUGUAUGAACUUAUUAUUAUUUUUAAUGGAUAUCUUCUUCUGAAUCAUAUUUAAUUUUUGUGAUUUUAAGUAUGGUGUUCGUACAACUAUUCUUCAUGAUCAUUAAAGUAAAAAUAAGAUAGUUCAUGCUUAAGGAAGAUGCGAUGUGCUACCACCUUAGAUUAGGAUAGACAUUUCAUGCUAACUAAAGAUGGACUAUGCCUAAAUUGCUUUUGUGAAAUUUUUAUUCGAAUGCUUAUUAGGCUUGUAGCCAAUUUGCAUGUUAAUUCAAGAACGAAAUAAAUUAUAAAUAACCCUUGUUCCGAUGUUAGUGGUGAAUUCCUUGCCCUAGGUUCCCUCAAACUGAUAUCAUUUUAAUUGCAUUUUUUUAUUAAAUUUCUUAGUUUAAUUUUCUUCACAAACUCUUCUUUUUAAUUUUCUUUUAAGAAAAAUAACUAUACCCCAAUCCCUAUGGAUCGAUACCCGUAAUCACUAUCUUACUAGAUAUGUGCUAUUGCGUGGUCUUUAAAGUUGACUAUCAAUUUUUGGCGCCGUUGCCGGGGAUUGUUAGCAUAGUUAUUUUUCUUUUUAUUAAAAAAAACUUUCAAAAAAAAACUUUCAAAAAAUAUAUAUAUCUAAAAUAAAAUAAAAAUAUUUUCUAUUUUUGUUACUUUUCUUAUCUCCUUUCUCUCUCUUACUAAUUUUUGAUUUUUAUUUGAUCAGGAAUCGAUGAGGAAGUCCGGGAUGAUUAAAAAGGGAACUGCUGAAAAAAGAAUGCUGUAGAGGUUUGCUUUUAAAAAAAAUUGCUGGGAAAAUUCUCUUUGGUAACAUCUAAACCUUUCUUAUUUAAAUUGAUUCCCAAUUAGCCUGAAAUUUUGUGGUGAUUGUUUGAUUUUAAUUUUAGUAAAAGUGUGAAUGCAUGCUUGAUACACAUACAUCAAUUAAUCCGCACAUAGUAAGGGCAAUCACCCCAACAAGAUAAGAACUGGAUUUCAUCACCAGAUUCUUACCCAAAUUAGGUGAAUCAAUUCUCACAUAGCUAUCACGUUAAUUAAAAUCAAUUAGACGUUGGCCCCUAGAGACAUUCGAGCUCAAUAGGACGAAGAUCACUGAAAGUUGCACCAAUUUCGCUCUGUGGCUCAGUUGAUGUCUAGGCAAGCUUUGUCCCAAGGGAGACAGUUCAUCUGUUCGAGGCAAGUGGUUUUUAAGUGGGACCUUUGCAACGCAUCGUGACCCCCCCACUUACCUGGGAGCUUACCUGGUCAACUUCGUUCAUUAGACCGGAUUGGAGGCUUAGGUGUCCUCUUCAAACCAGUUAGGAGCUGUCUAGUGAUUUUAGGGCAAAUACAAGGAUUUGACGUAUUUUUCUUUUAGUGCAUGCUUGACUUGACUGAUCAGAAGAGUAUAACUCCUUGCUCGACAAUCAGUCUUCCACAAAUUUUCUUUCUUGGAGAACUCGGCAUGAAUCCGGUAUAAUUCGAUAAGGAUGCGCUCCGUCUGGCUGAAGACGUUAAACUUAGUACUUGUUGGGAGGCAACCCAAUUCUCAUAGAUUAUUUUUGCAUAUUUUCUUGUCGCAUUUUUUUUUCAGGAGUCCUCAUAUUACUGAUGCAACUAAGGUACAAUGCUUCUAUCCUCCAUAUGCAUCAUAUUUUCAUCCCAAAUAAAAAAAUAUAUAAAAAAUAAAAAUCAUAAUAUAAUAUCUCAAAAAAAUAAAAAAAUAAAAAAAUAAAAAAAACAUUGAGGACAAUGUCUGAUCUAGGUUGGGGGGUAUAGGAUUCGAAUUUUUGAAGAAAUUUUUCGCAUUUUCAUAUUUUUGAAUAAAUUUUUAGAAAAAAAACCUAAUUUCUAUGCCUUAGUGCUGAAAUGAUAAAUACACAAAGUAUAUAAAAUCUAAAAAGCCCAAUGAUUUGUCAGGAAUAAGACAAUUUGAGUUCUUUUCAUUAAAAGUUCUUUUAGUGAGUGGUAAGAUAAUUUGUACUUUGGAAUUUCACAAUACACAUGGCCUGCACUUCUAAGGGUUAGGUUCAACAUUAUGUUGUUAAGUCUGGUAGCAACCUUGAGUCCUGAUGAAUCAUUCCUAUCUAAUUCACUAUUAUUCCAUAUUUAUUAAAAAAAAUAGUCAGGUACAUCGAAAAGGGCUACCUAUUGUCAAAGGUCAGCGGGCUUGUAUGAGGAACCUGAGCAUAGGUCCAUAGGGGAGUCUUGAUGCCCAACACCUUAUGCCAUCUGGUGUGGGAGUGUUGACUGAAUGCUCGCUAUACGGAGGAAUCAUUACAAGAGUAAAAGUACGUAAUUUAUUUAUAAUUUAAAAAAAAAUAAUAAUAUUGACCUUGAAAAAAGACGAUAGUGUGAAAGCCGUCGCUGUAAAAAUUUGAGUAAACUGGAAUAUUACAGAUAAAGCCCAUGAGGUAUUAAAGUAAGCAUCCACAACUCACGAAAUCCUGCAAGAUAGGAUAAUUUUGAAUCAGUGAUUAGGUCUUAUCUGACCAAUUCUUGGAAACUACCAGCUUUAGCAGUAUUUUGGAGAAUCUAAAACCUUAGCUUGUGUAUGGUCCAGAUAUCACCAAGCACCCAAGUAUAAAUAAGCCUUACAACUCUCUAACAGAAACUUAAUGACUUCAACUUAAGUUGCAUACUGACUUAGGAUUUGGGCUGACUUAGUAAUUAAAACUUUGUGUGCUUUUGAAAUUAUUGGCACUUAUGCAUUUGAAAUUAGAUUUCAUAAAACGAUAAAAUAAAUUCUUUGGGUAGAGACAACAGUUUGUGGGUAUCUGAGCCGAAAACCCUCACGAGACAAAACUCGUCCACUAGGGCCACCUAGGGGUUUAAAGCCUUAUUGCAUACGGUAAAUGCAAUCACGAUUCCUGCGAAAGUGAGUUUGUUUUUUUUUCGCUCGAGGACUAGCAAAAUGUAGGUUGGGGGUGUGAUAAGUGCUAAAUAAUGCAUAAAUUAAUAUCUUAUUUAUAGCACUUAUCAUUAAUUUAAUUCACAUAUUUUGUAAAUUUAACUAAAAAAAUGUAUUAUCACCACAUUUUAAAGGUAAUUCAAGUUUGAUUUGAUUAUUUAUUGAUUAAGCUUAAUGCAUGCAGGUCGAGUCGAGCUCAAUUAGGUAAAGCCUAAACGGACACUACAUCAUUUCACAAUUUCACAUUCUCCUGAGUCGACUCCAAGAACUCUUCUCCAAAAUCCAGUGCUUUCCAAGUUCACCUAAAUUUCGUCCCACUCAUUCCAAUUCUCCUGUUUUAACAUUAAAAAUAAUACAAUCCCUUCAAUCAAUUGUUUCUCAGAUCUCAAAGCAUACUAUCUUAGUUGCACAGAUUGCAAAGCCUCACCCCUUCAAUCCAUUUCAACUUCCCACGAAUAAUCCCAGAUCUCCUCCCAGCCAUUCCGCUUCCCUCCCAGCUUCAUCCCGGAUCUUAGUUCAUCCUCCCGUGAUCCACUCAUCUCCCAGCUGCAUCCAUUUGAUUCCAGCUCCAUCCUUGCGAGUUUCACGGCAUCCAAACAUCCCCUGUUUCUCCACGACCAGGCUUCUUCCACGUCCACCAGCGAGGGAUUCUUCCCAGCCAAAGGAAAUCAAACAUCGAACUGAGCCAUAUCUAAGCACCUUCAUUCCGUUUUACUCCCAGCGUCUGCAUAUCCAUGGGAUAAACUCAAAUCCCAGCUUCUCUUCCGGUUUGAUCCCAUGAAAUCGCUAACGUCUCAGCUCAUCUUCCCACGCGUCCGGCUUCACGCGUCUUCUCCUUUGAUCCGAACCACAGCAGUCCAUGAAUCAGGCCAAGCUUCAUCCCAACGGCAAAGGGUUCAUCCUUAUCUACAUUCGAAACAGAGGAGGGGAGUCGCAGCCUAUAAAAGGCCCCAGGGUGAACAGAGGAGGAUUCAUUGACGACCGGGAGAAGAUCAUCUCGGGAGAGAGGGAGUUCCCACCGAAGUAAAAAAGGAAAGAGAGGCUUUUGGGUAUUGUGGGAAGAACUUCCCACGGAAAAAGAAAAAAAAAUGAAAUGCUAAGGGAGUCCCACGGGAGAGGAAAAAGCCGGAAGGAAGAAAUGAGAGCCCGCUGCUGUACCACUGCUGCUGUCGCCCACGACUUCAUUGGAAGGUUGAUCUCCUCUCUAGGGUUGGAUGCAGCCCUAACAAAGGAACACGGGUUUUAUAUUUUAUUUUAUAUUCUUGGGGUUGUAUGAACU
Molecule: long non-coding RNA, 7538 nt
Filed under: Phoenix dactylifera (date palm)
Lineage: Eukaryota; Viridiplantae; Streptophyta; Magnoliopsida; Arecales; Arecaceae
Description: long non-coding RNA (PDAC_LNC010500)
Source: RNAcentral